Molecule: ribosomal RNA, 468 nt
Filed under: uncultured bacterium
Lineage: Bacteria
Description: partial 16S ribosomal RNA
Rfam family: Bacterial small subunit ribosomal RNA
Source: RNAcentral
GAUGAACGCUGGCGGCGUGCCUAACACAUGCAAGUCGAACGGUAAGGCCCUGCUUUUGUGGGGUGCUCGAGUGGCGAACGGGUGAGUAACACAUGAGUAACCUGCCCUCGACUUGGGGAUGACUUCAGGAAACUGGGGCUAAUAACGGAUAGGAGCUCCUGAUGCCUGGUGGGGGUUGGAAAGUUUCGGCGGUCUUGGAUGGUCUCGCGGCUGAUCAGCUUGUUGGUGGGGUAGUGGCUUACCAAGUCUGUGACGGGUCGGCGACGUGAGAGGGGGACCGCGCACAUGAGUACUGAGAUACGGCCCAGAGUAGUACGGGAGGCAGCGGUGGGGAGUAUUGCACAAUGGUCCGACGCCUAAUGAGGCAACGCCGCGUUCGGGAUGACGACCUUCGGGUUAUGAACCGCUUUAGCCUGUGACGAAACCUCAGUGACGGUAAUGGGUGAAGAAGCACCGGCUAACUACGUG